GGUGCAUGGUUGUCGUCAGCUCGUGUCGUGAGAUGUUGGGUUAAGUCCCGCAACGAGCGCAACCCNUAUCCUUAGUUGCCAGCAUUCAGUUGGGCACUCUAGGGAGACUGCCGGUGACAAACCGGAGGAAGGUGGGGAUGACGUCAAAUCAUCAUGCCCCUUAUGAGUUGGGCUACACACGUGCUACAAUGGACGGUACAAAGGGCAGCGAGACCGCGAGGUGGAGCCAAUCCCAUAAAGCCGUUCNCAGUUCGGAUUGCAGGCUGCAACUCGCCUGCAUGAAGUCGGAAUCGCUAGUAAUCGCAGGUCAGCAUACUGCGGUGAAUACGUUCCCGGGUCUUGUACACACCGCCCGUCACACCACGAGAGUUUGCAACACCCGAAGCCGGUGAGUAACCNUCAAGGAGCCAGCCGUCGAAGU
This 421-nucleotide ribosomal RNA is filed under the name uncultured Exiguobacterium sp. RNAcentral's name for it is "bacterial SSU rRNA". It matches the Rfam family "Bacterial small subunit ribosomal RNA", at positions 1040 to 1462 of the family's 1533-position model. Lineage: Bacteria; Bacillati; Bacillota; Bacilli; Caryophanales. The record is from RNAcentral.